This 166-nucleotide small RNA is filed under the name Desulfuromonadales bacterium. RNAcentral's name for it is "Magnesium sequence". It matches the Rfam family "M-box riboswitch aptamer (ykoK leader)". From Rfam's summary of the family: M-box riboswitch, also know as ykoK leader is described as a metaloregulatory RNA that sense divalent metals and function as a genetic control element of genes related to divalent metal transport in bacteria. Lineage: Bacteria; Pseudomonadati; Thermodesulfobacteriota; Desulfuromonadia; Desulfuromonadales. The record is from RNAcentral.
CAUAUUCCUCGUUAGAAUGAGGCGUUUGCACAAACACAGGCUACUACCCAGAAACGUCGAAAGACGCCAAUGCGGUUAACAGGUUUUGCCGGAUUAAGGCUUAACCCAAUGUAGCUGGUUCAAUCCUACGUUGUGCACUGCCGAAACUCAACCAGAGGGGAAGUGG